RNAcentral lists this ribosomal RNA (444 nucleotides) under uncultured soil bacterium. RNAcentral describes it as "bacterial SSU rRNA". It matches the Rfam family "Bacterial small subunit ribosomal RNA", at positions 26 to 518 of the family's 1533-position model. The record is from RNAcentral.
AGAACGAACGCUGGCGGCAUGCCUAAUACAUGCAAGUCGAACGAACACUUCGGUGUUAGUGGCGCACGGGUGCGUAACGCGUGGGAAUCUGCCCUUGGGUUCGGAAUAACAGUUGGAAACAACUGCUAAUACCGGAUGAUAUCGAAAGAUCAAAGAUUUAUCGCCCAGGGAUGAGCCCGCGUAGGAUUAGCUAGUUGGUGAGGUAAAGGCUCACCAAGGCGACGAUCCUUAGCUGGUCUGAGAGGAUGAUCAGCCACACUGGGACUGAGACACGGCCCAGACUCCUACGGGAGCAGCAGUAGGGAAUAUGGACAAUGGGCGCAAGCCUGAUCCAGCAAUGCCGCGUGAGUGAUGAAGGCCUUAGGGUUGUAAAGCUCUUUUACCCGAGAUGAUAAUGACAGUAUCGGAGAAUAAGCCCCGGACUAACUCCGCGCCAGCAGCCGC